GUCAUUUCAGAGAUAACUAUCCUUGAACUAUAUCCUGGUAAGAGUGGGCAUCUAUUCUUUAUGACAGGAGUCACUAUCAAUAUAAUUUAGGCCUGCAGAGAGAUGUUUUCUGAGAGAAACCAAUAGUACUAUUAACCAGAAGCUAAAGACAGGUAUUACUAUCACCAGAUGUUAUCUAUGGAAGACACAUGUAGAGACUCUGCCUGGGAGAAAAUGCUGAUUGAAAAUUCUCUCUGUCCAUGUAUGAGCGAUUUUAUACAGUUGACUCUCUCUUGUGAUAGAUUUUUCUUAGAAGAAAGAAUAGACGCCAAGACUAAUAUGAAGACUGAGGAGGCCUCACGAGCAUGUCAGGUGAUUUAUGGCAGGUUUGAAUUGGAGCUUAUUCAGAGUGUUACCAGUAGAGGGUGUCCAGGUUCUUGGCAUCUUGAACAAAGAAUUGGACAAAACGCACAAACGAAGCAAGGGAGAAAUGAAGGGAUUGAAAAUUAAAGUACACUCCACAGUGUGGGAGCAAGCCUGAGCAUAGGGGCUCAAGGGCCCCGUUACAGAAUUUGUAGGGGUUUAAAUACCUUCUAUGGAUUUCCAUUGGUUACUUGGUGUAUGCCCUAUGUAAAAGAAAGAAUGAAGUAAGGUUACUUACAUUUGGCGUACGCCCUAUGGAGAGGCUAUUUCCUGUCAUAGCUGAAGUGUGAAUCGGCUUUAUGUUCCCUUCCCCCAGACACUAUUUUCCUGCCUCAUUUUCUCUCUGAGAGACGUGAUCCCCAUAAAUCUUUAUAAGAGGCAGAGGGACCCACAGUCUUUCUUCUAUAACUGCUUCAUGCUGGCUUGAGAUGUAGUUCCUACCAACUGAGUAUCACAGUACUCACCCUGCUCUAUCUAGUGGGGACAGGGUUUCCUUGAUGGUCAGGGGUGGUGUCUUUCACCUGGAACUGGCUGGAACCCUUGUCACAUGAUCAUCUGAAGCUUGAUGGUCUCUAGGCAAGAGGAAAUGAAUUUGGUUAAAAGAUUUAAUGGGAACUUCAAGGAGUGGAUACCUGUGCUGUCAAGAAUGUUUGUUAUAGAGAUUUGUAUGAGAAAAACAAAACCUGGUUUGUGUUGUGUUCUAGGAUCUAUGUGUUCCCUUAAAGUCUUAGCACAAGCAACUCCAUUUUAGUUUGGUUUGGUCUGUUGAAGCCUAGUGCAUGAGCUCAGUCCAAAACAAUGGCCUUCCAUAACUUUGUUUUAAAAAAUCCCCCUUUUUGGUCAGGUUCUCACUUAGGUGAGAGGGUAACCAAAACUUAGGGCCUAAUACCACUCUCAGUUACCAUCAUUUUGGGUUUCAGUCUUAGCACGUCAUUCAUAGGUUAUGGUGUCCUCAUGGUUGCUCAUUUCUUUCAGCUCUUGUUAUUUCAGUUGAAGAGAGACCUUAUGACACUCUAGAGAUGGCUGCAUGCAAGCAUUCAAAACCUUUGAGAGAAUACAGCAUGCCAGGAAGACUAUUAUUAUGACUAAUGGGAAGAUAAUACCAAGAAUUUGGAGUAUGCUCCUUACCCAAGGUCCCCAUAAACUGAACUUCCUAAAAUCAAAUAGAUCAAAGAACGAGCUAGAUAAACACUUUACUACUUAACUAAGCAGUCCCUUUGCAAAUUCUCUACCACUGAAUUUCUAUAAUCUUCAUUUGAUGUAUUUUUCCAUAGGCCACAAGUGCCAGCAGCUGCACAGAUAAUUUUCUGUUCAGCAAAUUCUAUUAUAACUUUCACAAGACAAUUUAAAGUCUUUGUGUAACUGUAGCCUUUACAGUAAAAUUUGAGCCUAUCGUGAGGUGUACAUUUCUAAUCAUUGCUUUUUCACUUUAAACCAAGGGAAAAGGACCUAACAAAUGAUGCCCUUCUGGAAGAGUGAAGGCCUACUGGCAAUGUUCUCUUUAACCCAUGAUGUGGGCUAAGAGGAGUGAACCAAUAAAUAAAAUAAUAAAAUAAUCCAAAUUGAAUACA
RNAcentral lists this long non-coding RNA (1973 nucleotides) under Pongo abelii (Sumatran orangutan). RNAcentral's name for it is "lincRNA". Lineage: Eukaryota; Metazoa; Chordata; Mammalia; Primates; Hominidae. The record is from RNAcentral.